This 990-nucleotide unclassified non-coding RNA is filed under the name Hevea brasiliensis (rubber tree). The record is from RNAcentral. Lineage: Eukaryota; Viridiplantae; Streptophyta; Magnoliopsida; Malpighiales; Euphorbiaceae.
ACCACAUUCAAUCAUGCCUGAUCCCCAACAUUUUCAUGGCAAGCUCCCAGGUGACUAUUGCAGCUGCAUUAGCUGGAAAUGCUCGCACUAUUGUAGGAGCCAAACCUGCAUAACACCCUUUAAGUCCAGCCCUCCUGUAAAUCGAGUUCAGUACUAGAAAUGGAUUUCUGGUGGAGCUUUUAUCUGGAGCAGUCUGGAUGACAGUUUUCGCCACAUCCAACGGCAAAACAGCAGACCAGAAAGCUACGCCACCAAGGCCACCACUCACAAUUCCAACUCCCAUGUCAAUCAAGUUGUUGUGGUCAGAAAAAGAAGCCUUCAAUUGUAAAUGCAUGUAGUAACGGACAUACUCAUAAACACUAAAGAAGACUGCAUUUCCAAAAGAUUCUCUUAACAGUGUUGCAAAGCCUCCUCGAAAAAUGCCUGAAAUCCCUUCAUUUUUCACUGUUUGAAGGGCGCAAUCAAAUGGACUACUGUAUCUACUGAACUUUGGAACCAAGGAGUCAGUACCUUGAACUUGCAUCCUACACUUUACCAGCUCAGAUGGACAUAAUACAAAACUUAUAAUUGCUCCACCAUAAGCUGCAGAAGGAAUUAUUACUUGGGGCGUGGGCACAUCACUAUUCAAUCCUCUCUGCAAGGACUGCUUUGUUUGAGAAUAAAUCCCAAAAAGAAGUGAACUCUCGAAAGCCAUCCCAACAAAUGAUGAUGUUGCACCCCUAUAAAGUCCUUUAACUCCUUCAGUCUGUAGGAUCCUAGUCGUGCAAUGCAGACCAUUCCUGUACUUAAUCCCAUGCGCUUCCGUAUUGUGUUUUUGCAGCUUUACCUUGACGGUGUCGAAAGGAUGACCGGUGAUAACGAUGGCAACACCUGCGAGUAAACCGGCUAAGUACUCCUUGUAAGCGACAGUGUCCCCCAUUUCCAGUUUCUCUCCCUAAACCCCCCAAACCUUUGAACUUAAUAUGAUCUAUACCAGGGGAAGUAUAGUGG